Molecule: ribosomal RNA, 1214 nt
Filed under: metagenome
Description: bacterial SSU rRNA
Rfam family: Bacterial small subunit ribosomal RNA
Source: RNAcentral
AGAGGAUGAGCAGCCACACUGGGACUGAGACACGGCCCAGACUCCUACGGGAGGCAGCAGUGGGGAAUUUUCCGCAAUGGGCGAAAGCCUGACGGAGCAAUACCGCGUGAGGGAGGAAGGCCUUUGGGUUGUAAACCUCUUUUCUCAGGGAAGAAGAUCUGACGGUACCUGAGGAAUAAGCAUCGGCUAACUCCGUGCCAGCAGCCGCGGUAAUACGGAGGAUGCAAGCGUUAUCCGGAAUUAUUGGGCGUAAAGCGUCCGCAGGUGGUUUUUCAAGUCUGCUGUCAAAGACCAGAGCUCAACUCUGGGCCGGCAGUGGAAACUGGGAAACUAGAGUUCGGUAGGGGUAGCGGGAAUUCCCAGUGUAGCGGUGAAAUGCGUAGAUAUUGGGAAGAACAUCGGUGGCGAAGGCGCGCUACUGGACCGAAACUGACACUCAGGGACGAAAGCUAGGGGAGCGAAAGGGAUUAGAUACCCCUGUAGUCCUAGCUGUAAACGAUGGAAACUAGGUGUGGCUUGUAUCGACCCGAGCCGUGCCGUAGCUAACGCGUUAAGUUUCCCGCCUGGGGAGUACGCACGCAAGUGUGAAACUCAAAGGAAUUGACGGGGGCCCGCACAAGCGGUGGAGUAUGUGGUUUAAUUCGAUGCAACGCGAAGAACCUUACCUGGGUUUGACAUCUCGGGGAUUUUUUGGAAACAAGAAAGUGCCCUUCGGGGAGCCCGAAGACAGGUGCUGCAUGGCUGUCGUCAGCUCGUGUCGUGAGAUGUUGGGUUAAGUCCCGCAACGAGCGCAACCCUUAUCUUUAGUUACCAUCACUUCGGGUGGGGACUCUAAAGAUACUGCCCCGGUCAACGGGGAGGAAGGUGGGGAUGACGUCAAGUCCUCAUGGCCUUUAUGCCCAGGGCUACACACGUGCUACAAUGGGCGAUACAAAGGGUAGCGAGCCUGCGAAGGUGAGCCAAUCCCAAAAAGUCGUUCUUAGUUCGGAUUGGAGUCUGCAACUCGACUCCAUGAAGCUGGAAUCGCUAGUAAUCGCGGAUCAGCACGCCGCGGUGAAUACGUUCCCGGGCCUUGUACACACCGCCCGUCACACCAUGAGAGUUGGUUGUACCAGAAGUUGUUGGGCUAACCCGCAAGGGAGGCAGGCACCUAAGGUAUGGCUGAUGAUUGGGGUGAAGUCGGAACAAGGUAGCCGUUGGGGAACCAGCGGCUG